This 526-nucleotide ribosomal RNA is filed under the name uncultured Staphylococcus sp. RNAcentral's name for it is "partial 16S ribosomal RNA". Lineage: Bacteria; Bacillati; Bacillota; Bacilli; Caryophanales; Staphylococcaceae. The record is from RNAcentral.
CACGUAGUUAGCCGUGGCUUUCUGAUUAGGUACCGCCAAGACGUGCGCAGUUACUUACACAUUUGUUCUUCCCUAAUAACAGAGUUUUACGAUCCGAAGACCUUCAUCACUCACGCGGCGUUGCUCCGUCAGGCUUUCGCCCAUUGCGGAAGAUUCCCUACUGCUGCCUCCCGUAGGAGUCUGGACCGUGUCUCAGUUCCAGUGUGGCCGAUCACCCUCUCAGGUCGGCUACGUAUCGUUGCCUUGGUAAGCCAUUACCCCACCAACUAGCUAAUACGGCGCGGGUCCAUCUAUAAGUGAUAGCAAAACCAUCUUUCACUUUAGAACCAUGCGGUUCUAAAUAUUAUCCGGCAUUAGCCCCGGUUUCCCGGAGUUAUUCCAGUCUUAUAGGUAGGUUACCCACGUGUUACUCACCCGUCCGCCGCUAACGUCAAAAGGAGCAAGCUCCUUAUCUGUUCGCUCGACUUGCAUGUAUUAGGCUACGCCGCCAGCGUUCAUCCUGACGCCAGGACUACAAACUCUACCG